GGGCCCGCACAAGCAGUGGAGUAUGUGGUUUAAUUCGAAGCAACGCGAAGAACCUUACCAGGUCUUGACAUCCAAUGAAUCCUGUAGAGAUACGGGAGUGCCCUUCGGGGAACAUUGAGACAGGUGGUGCAUGGUUGUCGUCAGCUCGUGUCGUGAGAUGUUGGGUUAAGUCCCGCAACGAGCGCAACCCUUAUCAUUAGUUGCUACGCAAGAGCACUCUAAUGAGACUGCCGUUGACAAAACGGAGGAAGGUGGGGAUGACGUCAAAUCAUCAUGCCCCUUAUGACCUGGGCUACACACGUACUACAAUGGCAGGAAACAGAGGGAAGCAAUACCGCGAGGAGGAGCAAAUCCCUAAAAACUGUCCCAGUUCGGAUUGCAGGCUGCAACUCGCCUGCAUGAAGUCGGAAUUGCUAGUAAUCGCGAAUCAGCAUGUCGCGGUGAAUACGUUCCCGGGCCUU
Molecule: ribosomal RNA, 461 nt
Filed under: uncultured bacterium
Lineage: Bacteria
Description: bacterial SSU rRNA
Rfam family: Bacterial small subunit ribosomal RNA
Source: RNAcentral